Esox lucius (northern pike) is the source of this 296-nucleotide ribozyme. It matches the Rfam family "Nuclear RNase P". From Rfam's summary of the family: Ribonuclease P (RNase P) is a ubiquitous endoribonuclease, found in archaea, bacteria and eukarya as well as chloroplasts and mitochondria. Its best characterised activity is the generation of mature 5'-ends of tRNAs by cleaving the 5'-leader elements of precursor-tRNAs. NCBI's taxonomy places the organism in Eukaryota, Metazoa, Chordata, Actinopteri, Esociformes, Esocidae. The record is from Ensembl.
AUGGGAGGAAGCUCAUUGUAGAGGUCACGUGCCGAGUGCUCGUCACUCAACCAAUCACCUCGGGGAAGGUCUGAGACAAGAGCCAAUUGCUGCCCUAGCAGGGCAUCACUUGAUCCGGGUGAGUGAGUGCACAGAAAAUGUGGGCCGUCGUGAGUGUUCUUAACAGGAGAAACCAGGUGGCGCGCCGCUGGUGGAUGUGACCUCACUGGCUUGGAAUCACUCAUGGCUGGCGUAUGAGUGCGAUGUAUGAGUUGGAGUACACCUCCAGAACCCAAUUCAGACUACUCUCCCCCCAC